UAGUUGGCUUAAAAGCAGCCACC
RNAcentral lists this non-coding RNA (23 nucleotides) under Cricetulus griseus (Chinese hamster). Lineage: Eukaryota; Metazoa; Chordata; Mammalia; Rodentia; Cricetidae. The record is from RNAcentral.